This 2590-nucleotide long non-coding RNA is filed under the name Anser brachyrhynchus (Pink-footed goose). RNAcentral describes it as "lncRNA (ENSABRG00000008608.1)". The record is from RNAcentral. Lineage: Eukaryota; Metazoa; Chordata; Aves; Anseriformes; Anatidae.
AAUUCAUUUCCAAUUAAAUCAGUUUUAUAGACUGAAUGGCUGAAAACAGGUACCAUUAGUUUCUUCUAAGCUGGAAAAGAAUGUGCUUACUUAAACUAUAUUAUAGUGGUGGGGAAAAAAAAAAAAAAAAGAAUUUUCAGAUAUGCAGAAUGAAAGCGGUAGCAAAUUAAGAUUACCUUUCUCUCUGAAAAACUUUCAGUGCUCCUUCCACCCUGCAAGUGGUGCUUGAAUUGUAGUGGUUUGCGGGUGAUUCAGUAAUCAAAAUCUUAUUUGUAGUGUCUUUAUAGCAGACUUCACAGAUUAGGAAUUUAGUCACUGCAAUUAAAUGUUCUUCCUGAAGCAGAAAACCACAACUAGGAGACUGAAACACAAGGAAAGUGUGGGGGAUGGAAGAGAAAUGAAAAGCUAGAGCAUACCUUUGUCCAAGGUUUUCAUUGUAUCUAACCUUCUCUGUCACUUCUUUCCUUCUAAUUCUUUCAGAAGAUAGAAAAACAUCCUCUCUCACUAUAGAAAAGCACUCUCAAAUUUCCAUGCUACUACUUGAAACAUGGUGAUGCUUUUAAAGCAGACAUUUUCCAUGGCCUUAACUGCUCACAGGUCUGUCCUAAAACCAAAGUAGCCACUGUGCAUACCUAUCAACAUUGCUCUGAUAUGAGGCUGAAGAUGAUUCUUCAGAGCAGUGGCUAGAGAUAAGGAAGGUAUGCUUUGUCUCGUUUGUAGGAAUACAAGUGCUGAAUGGCCUGCUGCCUGUCUCCCUGUUCUACCAUCAGUCAAGAAAUUGAUAGAGAUUGUUUCCACUUUUUUUUUUCUUCACCCUCCUCAGUACCACACAAGUUUUAAUGUCUUUGGCAAUUCAUUUGAUUUAAGUUUUCAUGGAAGUAGGUCACUGGAUUAAAAUUUAAGCUAGUAUGGUAUGUGAAACAAUCCAGAGUUGCAGAAUUUUGCUUGAGAUAACUGAUUAUGAACCAGAGUGAAUCUCUGAUCGUGAUGAGAAAAAGAAAAUGAUGAGCAAUUAGACAAACACUUCCAUAAACAUAUCUUCACCUGCUUCCCAGUACAAGUACAUUUUGCUGUGAGUUGUACUCAGUCCAUGUGAACACCUCUGGUAUGGCAAUGGGCAGCAAAGGAGGGUGGGGUGGUCUGUGUGAUGGUUUCUAUCUGCUACUUUGUGUUAAUGGUUCCUGUAUUCCUGCAAGCCACAGUCCCAAAGGGGUGUCCAUGCCCUGUCUAGUGGCUAGAGAACAUUAGGAACCUUGGGGGUGUCCCUGCCCUACUGUGAGUGGCCCUUAGUCACAGUCCCUCAGUUGUGUCCCUACUGCUUUUGGCUUAGAGUGUCCCACCACCACCAAGUGCGUCUCCAGCCCCUCACAGCUGCCUCUGUCUUAGAUAUGACUAAGCAGAGAUGCUGUGCAGUUUUCUGAUACUGCUUGUUUGUUUGUUUUCCCAUCAAUUUUAUCUGCUUUGGGACAAGCUGGAGCCAAUUUUAGACCGGCACAAAGCAGUUCAUGACUUCCUGCCAUACAGGUCACUGUUACAGCCCGUGAUACUUAAAGCCUGUAACAUAUGCACAUUACUGCUAGAUAAAACUGAUUGAAUGAUAGAUACAUGACAUAGAUGUGUACCACUUGUUUCCUUACAGAUAUAUUGGGGGGAAAAAAGAAGAAAAGGAACGGCAUUAACUUUUUCUCUGCUGUUUUUUCCUAAAAGGUAAGAUACUUACAUUAUCACUCAUGGGAUGAAUAAGAUGCUUACUGUGAAGGGAGAGAUUUUUCUGUGAAUUUCAGUCUUAUAUAGGCAUUUAACAGGAAUGUUCCUCAAAGAGUGGUGUUAAAUAGCAAAGACCAGAGGAGAAAUUGCAUUUGAAAUCCCAUCUUUUCUACAUUUUUAAAUUGGUGGUUCCAUCUUACAGUUGUUUUAAUUCAUAAUUAAGCAGCUAACUAUACUCAUUAGCUAAAAAUAAGUAAAUAUUGUUGAGACUUGCAUUUGGUUCACAGGAAUAUGAAAAUUUGGUGAAGAUGUGAAUUUUCUCUUUAGAAUUCCAGCUUUCUGUUCAUUCAGACUUUUCUCAAAUGGCUUACUUUAUUUUGACUAAUGUUAACACUUCAGAAAAUGCCAUCCUUCUCUCUGAACAGACUAUCUCAUUUUACUUAUGUUACAAUUGGUUAGGCCACGUUUCUUAAAUCCUAAUAGCAUUAUUCUUGUUCUGGAAAAUAAUUUCCUGGUUCCAUACUUUGGUGAAAAUAUUCCUUUUUGUUGGUCUUAACAUCAUAGUAUGUCUGCAUUUUCCCAGCGAGGUAGUCCUCAGGGAGUCCUAUGUGUAAUUAUUGCUUUCAUAUGAAAUCUGUUUUGGUCAAGUAUGAUACUAUUUUAGGUCUCUCAUAAGGACAUAUAUGGAAUUCAAUUUUGUAUAGAACCUCAAUUUCUAAAACAUUCAUAUAAUAAUUAUUCAUUACUUUAAAGUGUGUUGGUGCUUUGUAAAGGAGACAAAGUCCAGUUCACAUGGGGAAAAGGACGGAGCUGUAGAAAAGUGAAAGUAUUAUAUUUUAACUGAGAGUUAGAAUAAUUAAUAAAAAUAAUUUCACUUCUUCCA